Molecule: unclassified non-coding RNA, 686 nt
Filed under: Hevea brasiliensis (rubber tree)
Lineage: Eukaryota; Viridiplantae; Streptophyta; Magnoliopsida; Malpighiales; Euphorbiaceae
Source: RNAcentral
AACACUUAGAUUCAAAGAAACUUCGAAGUUACAGAAAAAAGAGCUAGUAAAACUAAGUAGAUACGUCAGAAAAAAGAAAAGAUAAAAAGAUGCAACAAAAUCAAAGAAAAACUCAUGAAUCUUAAGGAAGUAAGAAAGCAAGAGAAGAAAAGAAAAGAGUCGAAAAAUAAAAAGCUAGGAACUUAAAAGAAAAGACAAAAAUACAAGCUAUUUUUACAGCUUACCAAACCAAAACCACAACAAAGAACAAGUAAGGCUUGAUAUUGCAAAAUCUCACCAACUCAUCACUCAUAAACCUUAAACACCAAGCAUCUUCCAAGCCAACGCCAACCCUUGAAGACCAACACAAAUUAAAACCAUAAGUUUGAGUCAAUGCCAGCUAAAAACUCAAACCCAGUUCUCAAAGCAAAGCACACCAAACGAGUUUGGAGUUGAAUGACGACACCCUCUUUCUCUCUCAAAGUACCAUGCUUGAAAGCUAGAAAGCUAAAAGUAAUAACUCACACUAAUGAAGGGUGUUAAAUUUUCAAAACUCGGUUCUCACACACUCUGUAAAUCCAACUAAUCAAGAAGGCACAGAAUUGGGGAGGAUUGAAAGGAGACGUGAAGAGACGAAUAAAGGUCGUACAUCUCUGUUAGGAAUUAAGGCAAAAACUGAGAAGGGCACAGAGAGAGAGAGAGAGAGA